This 85-nucleotide transfer RNA is filed under the name Planktothrix pseudagardhii. Its description in RNAcentral is "tRNA-Ser". The record is from RNAcentral. Lineage: Bacteria; Bacillati; Cyanobacteriota; Cyanophyceae; Oscillatoriales; Microcoleaceae.
GGAGGUUGUCCGGCACGGACGAGGAAAGCGUUUUGAAAACGCCUGCGGGUAACGCCGUCAAGAGUUCAAUUCUCUUAGCCUCCGC